UCACCACAUCGUCUUCAUGUCAGACGGAAAAAGUAAGCACAACACAACAAUGAAUUUUGAUCACAUUGCGACAAGAAUCGCAGAUACUGCAGUUACUCCACAACAAUCCUCCAGCAUCACGACAAAUCUGCCUCAUACUGGUCAGGUUAAACACGCCCACCCAUCCAUACGCCUGAACGUUCUGAUAUCAAUUCCGUGGAGAGAGAAGGUGAUGCUAAAUUUGGAAGUUUAGGGUCAUCUCCUGUGCUGAAUCAUUAACGUAUCUUCGAUGGAGUUCCUGCGCAGAUUUAGUUUUACUACGUUGUUCUAGGCUACAGAUAUGAAUGCCAGUCAUACCCCACAGCCAUAAGAUUGCAGCCCAGCAAUCAGUGGGAAAGGAUCCCAAGCUCCUUCUUCGGAAGCUCCUUCUUCGGAAGCUCCUUCACAAACCUGCU
This 434-nucleotide long non-coding RNA is filed under the name Physcomitrium patens. RNAcentral's name for it is "long non-coding RNA (PPAT_LNC003428)". The record is from RNAcentral. Lineage: Eukaryota; Viridiplantae; Streptophyta; Bryopsida; Funariales; Funariaceae.